UCCAGACUCCUACGGGAGGCAGCAGUGAGGAAUAUUGGUCAAUGGGCGAGAGCCUGAACCAGCCAAGUCGCGUGAGGGAAGACGGUCCUAUGGAUUGUAAACCUCUUUUGUCGGGGAGCAAAAAGGCCUCGUGAGGCCACAAGUGAGAGUACCCGAAGAAAAAGCAUCGGCUAACUCCGUGCCAGCAGCCGCGGUAAUACGGAGGAUGCGAGCGUUAUCCGGAUUUAUUGGGUUUAAAGGGUGCGUAGGCGGGCUUUUAAGUCAGCGGUAAAAAUUCGGGGCUCAACCCCGUCCGGCCGUUGAAACUGGGGGCCUUGAGUGGGCGAGAAGAAGGCGGAAUGCGUGGUGUAGCGGUGAAAUGCAUAGAUAUCACGCAGAACCCCGAUUGCGAAGGCAGCCUUCCGGCGCCCUACUGACGCUGAGGCACGAAAGUGCGGGGAUCGAACAGGAUUAGAUACCCCCGUACC
This 467-nucleotide ribosomal RNA is filed under the name uncultured bacterium. RNAcentral describes it as "partial 16S ribosomal RNA". It matches the Rfam family "Bacterial small subunit ribosomal RNA", at positions 330 to 796 of the family's 1533-position model. The record is from RNAcentral.